GACGUGCUUGCACUGAAUGAGAUUUUAACACGAAGUGAGUGGCGGACGGGUGAGUAACACGUGGGUAACCUGCCCAGAAGCAGGGGAUAACACCUGGAAACAGAUGCUAAUACCGUAUAACAGAGAAAACCGCCUGGUUUUCUUUUAAAAGAUGGCUCUGCUAUCACUUCUGGAUGGACCCGCGGCGCAUUAGCUAGUUGGUGAGGUAACGGCUCACCAAGGCGAUGAUGCGUAGCCGACCUGAGAGGGUAAUCGGCCACAUUGGGACUGAGACACGGCCCAGACUCCUACGGGAGGCAGCAGUAGGGAAUCUUCCACAAUGGACGCAAGUCUGAUGGAGCAACGCCGCGUGAGUGAAGAAGGGUUUCGGCUCGUAAAGCUCUGUUGUUAAAGAAGAACGUGGGUGAGAGUAACUGUUCACCCAGUGACGGUAUUUAACCAGAAAGCCACGGCUAACUACGUGCCAGCAGCCGCGGUAAUACGUAGGUGGCAAGCGUUAUCCGGAUUUAUUGGGCGUAAAGCGAGCGCAGGCGGUCUUUUAAGUCUAAUGUGAAAGCCUUCGGCUCAACCGAAGAAGUGCAUUGGAAACUGGGAGACUUGAGUGCAGAAGAGGACAGUGGAACUCCAUGUGUAGCGGUGAAAUGCGUAGAUAUAUGGAAGAACACCAGUGGCGAAGGCGGCUGUCUGGUCUGUAACUGACGCUGAGGCUCGAAAGCAUGGGUAGCGAACAGGAUUAGAUACCCUGGUAGUCCAUGCCGUAAACGAUGAUUACUAAGUGUUGGAGGGUUUCCGCCCUUCAGUGCUGCAGCUAACGCAUUAAGUAAUCCGCCUGGGGAGUACGACCGCCAGGUUGGAACUCAAAAGAAUUGAAUGGGGCCCGCACAAGCGGUGGAGCAUGUGGUUUAGUUCGAAGCUACGCCAAUAGCCUUACC
RNAcentral lists this ribosomal RNA (932 nucleotides) under Pediococcus pentosaceus. RNAcentral's name for it is "bacterial SSU rRNA". It matches the Rfam family "Bacterial small subunit ribosomal RNA", at positions 61 to 975 of the family's 1533-position model. Lineage: Bacteria; Bacillati; Bacillota; Bacilli; Lactobacillales; Lactobacillaceae. The record is from RNAcentral.